Molecule: non-coding RNA, 121 nt
Organism: Picea glauca (white spruce)
Lineage: Eukaryota; Viridiplantae; Streptophyta; Pinopsida; Pinales; Pinaceae
Source: Rfam
ACAUGCCUACAACAUAGUAUUAAUGCACUAAAUCUCAUUAGAACUCCACAAUUAAGCAUGCUCGGGUUGGAGUAGUACUGGGAUGAGUGACCGCCUAGGAAGUCCUAGUGUUUUACAUGCC